GAUUUACCAAAUAUGGCUACUGAAAUGUAUGACACUAUUGUCCAUUAUUGGUGCUGUGAUAGGUAGAUGCAUAUUACAGUUGCCUCUGGAUACAGAAAACACUUUUUAUAGUGAGGUAGUGACCAAAGGAGUGUACUUUGAGGAGUGUGUUCAUCAAAUCAUACGGUAGUUCACAUUCUGAAAAGAUUAAGAACUUCUGUGGUAUAGGGAUAUAACUAGAGAAAGAAUUAUACUGUAUGGAAUUUCAAAGAGCAUGGCGGUUUACAUGAGGAGCAACCCAGGUGGCAGAAGCAAAGGCUCAAUAGGAUGGAGGAGGGCAGCAUUUGACUCCUUGAAGGAGAAUUUUUUUACAUAGAAUUUUUUUUUAAUUUUUUUACAUUUAUUCAUUUUUGAGAGACAGAGAGAGACAGAGCACAAGUGGGGGAGGGGCAUAGAGAGAGGGAGACACAGAAUCUGAAGCAGGUUCCAGGCUCCCAGCUAUCAGCACAGAGCCCAACAUGGGGCUCAAACUCACAAACCGGGAGAUCAUGACCUGAGCUGAAGUUGGAUGCACAACCGACUGAGCCACCAAGGUGUCCCCAAGAUGUGUUUGAAUAAUUAAAAUAGAACUUUAAAAAUACCAGAAAAAUACUACUGCACUGCCAGUGGCUUAGUCGCUAUCAAUGUAAAGCAUUGUUAUUUUUGCAGUAGACCAAUUUUUUUAGACUGGACUGAAGAUAAAGCUAAGAAAAGUUAAAUAAAAACUAUGUAUAGCUCAGAGUGGCUGUCUUGCACCUAAAAUUCUAUUUGUGACGGAUACCAUCUGCCCAGAUUGUAAGAGGAGGGGAGGUUGUGGAUUGGUGUACAUUUGGAGGGAGAAGGAGUUGCAGAGGGCAGCCUCCUUCUGGAAGUCAGAAGCAUUGCAGAAAAAUAUACUGGUAUGGUACCACUAUCUUUUGUUCAUUCUCACCAACCAUGAAAUUUUAUUGCUUGAAACAAAAUGUUAACAGUGCCUGUCCCUGGGUGAUGGCAUAAGUAGAUAGCAACAUCAUAGGUGGGUUUUCUUUGUGACAGUUCCCAAAAUUUCUACAGUUUUAUUUUACUAGGAAAAGUAACUUAAAAAUGACUGUUGUCAGUUUUUUUUGUUUUGUUUUUUUGUUUGUUUGUUUUUGCAAAAUUGGGCUCAUAUGACAUACGUGGUUUUAUGUAUUCUGCUGUGAGUAGUAUCUUGAGCAUUUUCCUGAGUCAAUAUUCUUCAAAAACAUAUAUUUUGAAUGGUUGUGUAAUGUCCCAUGAUACAACUAUAUCAUUGCUCAUUUAUUCUUUUUUCUGGGUUUUCACUCUUAAAAUGAUGUAAUGAAGUUACUUGGACACAAAUUUUUGUGUCCAUUUCUGCAUAGAUUCAUACAAUUGAAAUUAUUUGGUCAAACUGUAUGAAUUCUUUUAGGGCUCAUAAUACACAUUACUAUAUUGUACUCCAGAAUUUUAGCACCAAGAUCAAUUCCUUUGUGAGCUCAUUGUACUGGACUUGGUUCAGCACUGGGUAUUUCCAUUGUAAAAUCCUUGCCAAUUUGGGGAAAAUUUCUUUGCUCUCAAUAACAAACAUUUUUUCACAUUUUAUUGGCUAUGAGUUAUUUGCUGCUGUUCUUUUUCCAGUUUUCAAUUUGUGUCAGGAUUUUUUCUAAUUAAUUUACACAAGCUCUUUGCAUCUUUUUUUUUUUUUUUAAUUUUUUUUAACUUUUUUUUUUUAAAUUAUUUUUGGGACAGAGAGAGACAGAGCAUGAACGGGGGAGGGGCAGAGAGAGAGGGAGACACAGAAUCCGAAGCAGGCUCCAGGCUCCGAGCCAUCAGCCCAGAGCCCGACGCGGGGCUCGAACUUACGGACCGCGAGAUCGUGACCUGGCUGAAGUCGGACGCUUAACCGACUGCGCCACCCAGGCGCCCCACAAGCUCAUUGCAUCUUGAUGGUAUUAGUUACGGUAAACUUUCCCUCUAGUUUUGAUUUUUUUUAGAUGCCCAACUUUACAUUUUUACAGUGAAAUCUUUAGAUUUCUUUGUAAUUUAUUUACCUUCCUUUCCUAUCCAGAGAUCAGAUGAACAUUCAAAUAAAUGUUCUUAUCGUCUGUGCUCCAGAUUUUUUCAGGCAGCUCUCAUGCGUUCAGAUACCUUCUUUGUACCAGGUGAUGUUAAUUAUGUUGUCAGAUACAGAUAGGAAAGCAUUAAAGUGAGGCACUGUUGUCAUAACACGUAAUUAGUACAGUAUGCUGGUUAGCACUGUGGUGUUUGGGGACAUUCUCCCUCACUUUGAACGUGGCUCUGUCAUCUUGAGAUAACUUCUUUCCCUGUUCUACGGUUUCCUUAUCUGUAAAAUGGGUUAAUAAUAAGGCUAUGUCACAGGGUUAUGAGAAUAAAAUGAAUUGAUAUGGAAAUCACUUAGAAUGUGUCCUGAUACAAAGUCAGUGCUAGCCACAUUUUGGUCCAUGAUAGGUAUGUUCUUUGAAAUCUGAUACCGUUUCAAUAUAUUUUGCAUUUCUAGAAACUUGAACAUUUCAUUUCAAAAAGCUCUUCACCUGCAAUAAUUACCUUUACUAGAUCUUUCCUCAGCUACUUUAGUGAGACACGCCUCCUACAGGCCACAGGUGAAGCUUAUUUCCAGCUCUUGAAAACCAUACAGACCUCAGUCGGAGAGCUGUUGUGGCUGACUCACCGAUUCUGUUCGACCCCUACUUCUUCCCUCUGAGUCGAAUCUCUUCUAAUUUCUGUAGGCUCGGAGCUAUUUCUGCGUGUGUGCAUUCAUUCUAAUUCCAGUUUUUUUCGGGGCGCUUACUAUGCGCGAGGCGUGGAAGGGGAAGAAAUGAAGGUACAAUCUGUUUUUACUUGGCUUGACGUCCCAUAGAAAAAUCAAUAUAUGUACCAUAUAUAGGCUAACUAACGUUCAUCUUUUAGCUUCUAUUUUCUCAUCUGUAAAAUGGGGGUAAUAUCUCAAGGUCGCUGAAAGAUUAAGGAAGAAAAGAACAGAACCUCUAAUACUGAGCAGUUCCGUAAACGCCUAUUCCUCCCUUCCUCCGCUAGCUCCACAGUCCAGCCUGUGGAUUAAAGCGCCACACUCUUGGGAGUCUGGAAAUUCUGCCGAUAGCCUUCCAGUUCCCCAAUUGCAAUCGUCAAAAAGCUACCGACUGCACAUACAGGCCGUGCAGCUUUUAAUUUGGAGACACAAACAGUCCUACUUAAAAAACUUUAAGCGGGCAACGUGGAUUACACACCCUCAGGAACCGAGGGGCGCCACAUUGAGCAUGCGCAGGGCGCGCGCUGGGUGGGCGGGAGGUUCGAAGGGCGGGCUUUGUGGUCCAGUCACUUCCGUUUCCGGCCAUAUAUGAACUCUCCCGCCAUCUGACAAAAGCGCCUAUCGGCGUUUCUGCGUAUCGUGUUUGGUGUGGUUGCAGGUAAGAGGAUCUUCUGUGGUUUUACCACGGACAUUAGUCUUGGUGUUAAGGCUUGCAGGUCGAGAAAGAAGGGAGAGCACUUUGCGAGCCGUGGGAACAGAAGAAUGACAUCCUGGGGUGGGUGUAUUGAGUAUUGGUUGGUUGAGGCAGAGACGCAGGUGUCAGCGAGCUGAGGAGAGAACAGCUUCGUCGGAGGAGUGCUCAGGUAGGAUUGAGGGGCUUAAUUUUUAUAGGAGUUUGAGGAUGUUUCCUAAAAGGGGUUCGGAAGGACUGGAUUAGAAAGACGUGUUCUAUUUUCCGGGGUCAUAAUAUAGGAAGUGAUGAAUUGGACCCGGACCAUUAAGUCUCUUCUCUGGAAAGCCAGAAUCUACCGCGCUUUCCUCCGAAUUUACGAUUGCAGCGGGUUUAAAAUCUCAUCUUAACUCUUGGGACUGUAGAGAUCUAACGACGGUGGUACACAGACCUAUAGUGAACUGGCAAUAUCGCUUGACUUUGACUUUGAUGUUGCUGGAAGUUAUGACCACCACCUGCGUUUCACCGUACACACCCCCUCCUUCCCUACAGAAUUGUUACAGGUGUGUUGUAGAAAAUCUGGAAAAUCCAGAAAGACGCAUUGCCUCGGGAUGACCACUUUAACAUUUUAUGCAUGCCCUUCAGUUUUUUGCUGUGUAUGUGGAGUUGUUUUUUACACUUGUUGUUUGUUGUUUUCAACUCCAUUUGCCAUCCUUUUAACCCUUUUAUGUUUCCUUCCAAGAUAAUGAGAUGCAGUUUUCUGGAGGAAAUCGGAGAAGACUGAGGUUGGGAGGUGACCAAAGGAAUGCUUGCUAUCCUCAUAGCCUUCAGUUUUACUUGGAGCCACCUUCUGAAAACAUAUCUUUGAUUGAGUUUGAAAGCUUGGCUAUUGAUAGAGUUAAAUGUGAGUGAUAUUUGAAUUAGAAUUUAUAUAUUCUUGAGAACUUCACUUAUACUUUGUGGAAAUGAAUGAGGGUAAUUUCCUUCAUUCAGUUCAUUCUCGAAAUAUUUAUUGAGGGUUUGCUAUUUACUGUUCAGUGUAUAUUUAUUGAGUGCCACUAUAUUCUGGGGUGGGGAUUUCCAGAUGAAUAAUGUAAUUCUCAUAUUUGUUGAAGCUGUAUUCUAGUACGCACAUAAAGGCAUCCAAAAUAAUAAUCAUAAUUUAGUAUUGUAAGUGCCUUACUAGAGGUAAAUAGUAAUGCUCUUAUUUUUUUUAUUAAAAAAGUUUUUUUUAUACAUUUAUUUUUGAUACACACAGAGCACAAGUGGGGGAGGGGCAGAGAGAAGGAGACCCAGAAUCCGAAGCGGGCUCCACGCUCCAAGCUGUCAGCACAGAGCUGGACGCGGGGCUUGAACUCACAAACCAUGAAAUCAUGACCUGAGCCAAAGGUGGAUGCUUAACCGACUGAGCCACCCAGGCGCCCCAAAUAGUAAUGCUCUUAAAUCAGAAGCAGGGGUGACUUAGUUUGAUUAAGUAAGACUUCUUAGAGAAGUUGAAGUGUAAUCUGGACCUUGAAGGAUGAGUAGAAAUUUCUGAAAAGAGAAGUAGUUAAAGGUUUUUUCAGUCCAAGAUAACAAACUGUACUAAGGCUGGGAGGCAAAAGAGAGAAUGUUCUAUCUGAGGGAACAGUGACAAGUUCAGAGCAAAUGGAGAAGAAUGGAUAACCAAGGGCAUUUUUUUGCCAAGCUAACAGUGUAAUAUCAGGAUGUAGGCAGGAUGUGGCCUACUUAUCCUCUGUGUGCUAGUGGAAGAAAGAAAUAAGCUAGGCAUGAAUUGAAACAGAAAUAAAAGCAGUGUUUUCUGAGUUUAUGUUCCAGGAUAUCCCUGUGGGAAAAUCAGAAGGUAAGGUGAGAAACUGUUCAUCAUUUUUAGAAGAGCAGAGUGACAACUGCUAAUACACAGAGGGGGCACUUAGUGUCUGUUGACUGAAAGAGUGAAGACAAGGGAGAAAAGGGUUUUAGGAACCUUAGCAGUGUCAGAUGCUUCAUGGAGAUUAAGAGGAUGAUUGAAGAGUGUCCCUUGGAUUUGGCACUUAAGGGGCGAGCUAGUAAGUGCCUGAACUAAGGCAGUGACAAGUGGCAGUGUGUAGGCAGGGAGAGAUUUAAGGGAUACUGAGGAGGUAUUCCUGACAGGAUUUGGGAGUUGUUUGGAUGUGAGGAGUGAGGGGGCCAGUGGGGGUGGCUGAAAUUCCAGUCUGGAUGGUGUGGUUAGAAACUGUGCUAGUGGAGGGGUGCCUGAGUGGCUCAGUUGGUUAAGCAUCCGGCUUUGGCUUGGGUCAUGCUGCCAUGGUUCAUGAGUUCAAGCUCCACAUCAGGCUCUGUGCUGACAGCUCAGAGCCUGGAGCCUGCUUCAGAUUCUGUGUCUCCCUCUCUCUCUGCCCCUUCCCUGCUUACGUUCUGUCUAUCCCUCUCUCAAACAUAAAUAAAAAUUAAAAAAAAAAAAAACUAUGCUAGUUGAGAUGGGGAUGAUAGGAAGAGGGGCAGGACUGAGGGGAAGAUGAUGAGUUUAGUUUGAGAUACUAUAAUAAGGAGGUACCUGUGGGACAUGGAUUUAUGUUCAGGAUUCAUUUUUAGUUUUUCAUCCUUGAAUUACAAAAAUGCUUUUUGUAUUGAUGGAAGUAGAAUUAAUCUGAGAAAGAAUUGACAAGGAACCUUUGAACAAUAUGCAUCUAAUCAGGACAGUUCACUUGCAUCAUUGGAGGGCUUUGCUUCUUCACUGUUGUGUCUUCUCCUCUACUUCAUCAGGAAAGGAAGGGCUGUUUUUUCUGAUGAUUCUAUGCUGAGUAAUUGAAACAAACUAACAGUUCCACAGAAGGGAUGCAAACAAGGGUACUUAAUUUUUUUUUUCAUACCAGCACACUUGCAUUCCUCGACAAUGGUGGCUCAGUACAACAAUGAUUAUUCCCCACCCUUCACUCUCUGAGAAUCCUGGUAUUAACUUGUGGUAUGGGACAUGAAUAUUUUCUGCACAUGGAUGGAAAUUAUCUUCUUAUAAAUUUAUAUAAUUUAUAUAAUGUACUUGCAGAAAAUAAAACUAUUACAACUUGUUAUCUUUUAUUUAUUUUUUCAAGUUUGUUUUCUUUGAGAGAGAGAGAACACAAGCAAGGGAGGAACAGAGAGAGAAGGAGAGAGAAAAUCCCAAGGAAGCUCCUCCCUGUCAGUGCAGAGCCCUGAUGCAGGGCUAGAGCUCCUGAACCGUGAGAUCAUGACCUGAGCUGGAAUUAAGAGUUGGAUGCUUAACUGACUGAGCCACCCAGGUGCCCCUAUAACUUAUCUUUUAAAAACAAGUAAUUAUGGAAUUGUUCAUAGGCUUUGUCUUGGGAUUUAGUUUUUUUUUUUUUUUUUUAAUUUUUUUUUUCAACGUUUAUUUAUUUUUGGGACAGAGAGAGACAGAGCAUGAACGGGGGAGGGGCAGAGAGAGAGGGAGACACAGAAUCGGAAACAGGCUCCAGGCUACGAGCCGUCAGCCCAGAGCCCGACGCGGGGCUCGAACUCCCGGACCGCGAGAUCGUGACCUGGCUGAAGUCGGACGCUUAACCGACUGCGCCACCCAGGCGCCCCGGGAUUUAGUUUUUAAAAACUAUCUUGGGGCGCCUGGAUAGCUCAGUCACUUGAGCAUCCAACUCUUGAUUUCACCUCAAGUCAUGAUCCCAGGAUCGUGGGAUUAAGCCCUGCGUUGGGCUCUGUGCUGAGCGCAGAGCCUGUUUAAGAUUCUCUCUCCCUGUCCCUCUCCUUGUCCCUCCCCCCUUCCCUUUCCCUCUCUGUCCCUCUUCUCUGCUUGUGUGCGUGCUGUCUUCUAAAAAAAAAAUCUUGCAUUCAUACAUUUUUCUUUCUUCUGUUUUUAAAAAAUUUCUAGUGCUAAAAACAGUCGAAAAUCUUGGUGUGAGCCAUGUGAAAGGAACCGAGCAAUACCAGAGUAAGUUGGAGGCUGAGAUAAGAAGGCUCAAGUUUUCCUUCAGAGUAAGUAAACAUGGGAAAGAAAUGUUUUUCAGUUUGUAUAUAUUUAUAUACUGAGUCUUGGUUGUGGAAAAUAUCUUGUAUUAGGCACAGGGCUUUUAAAAAAGACUAAAAUAGCAUGGACUGUGCCUGAAGGUAUAUCUGCAGUCCACUAGGAAUGAUUGCCAUAUAUAGUCAGACGAUUAUAAUACAGCAGGGUUUCUCAGCCUCGGAACUACUGACAUUUGGGCCUGAUAAUUUCUUGGUGUAGGGACUGUCCUGUGCAUUGUAGGGUGCUCAGUAGCAUCUCUGGCUUCUACCUGGUAUGUAUCUCCAGACAUUGCCAGAUGUACCCUGUGCACCACAGGAUGAGUACUGUUUCUAGAUAUGUGUUCCAGGAACUCCAAGAGCACAUAGGAUUACCCAGCCCAGCUUGGGGAGGUUUGGGAAGGUGUUAAAGUUCCAGGUAGUGCUGGAACUGAAACUCGAUAGAUGUGAUCAGAUUUUUAUUUUGGGAAGAUAGCAGAUUGAGAGGGCCAUGUCUGUGGGAGGAAAACCAAGUAGCUUGGACAUAAUGAGAGUGAUUCGAAUUGGAGAAAAGGAUGAGAGUGAUUUGAAUUGGAGAAGAGGACUAGUAUAAUGAUAUUAUGAAGGUAGAAUCAAAAGAUUUUAGUGACCUUACAGGGAGAAGGUAAAAGAGAGUUAUGAAUGACACCUUAGGUUUCUGGUUAGGACAACUAUGGAUGGUGGUAGUGUUUUGAGAGGUGACAUAUAGGAGGAGAAGCAAGUCUUAGAAGGAACAUGUUGAGUUCUAGACAAGAAUUUGAGGUUCUAGUGGAACUGUGUAGUAGAUGAUUGGAUAUGCAUAUAGCUUGGACUUAAGGCUGGAGUUGGGAGUAUGGAUUUACGAAGAAGGUUGGAAUCAUCAGGAGGAGGGAAAUAUUUGAGUGAGAAGACGAUGGAGGACAAGAUGUGAAGAAUACCAGUACUGAAGGUGAAGAAGAAUUGGGGGAGUCUGGGAAGGAGAUUGAGAAGGAGCUGCCUGAGAGGUGGGAGAUCAGCAGGGAUAAUAGUGGCAUGGUAGCCAAGGAAAUUUGGAGUUUCCAUAAUGAUGAUUAUGAUGUAAAUACUGAUCCCAUAGGAAUAAUAACAGCAAGCAUUCAUAUUAUGCUUAGUGUAUCCCAGAGUUUGCCCUAAGCACAUUACAUAUAUUAAUCCAUGUAAUAUAGUUAAUAGUCUUAUGAAGCAGGUACAAUUGUCAUCCCUAUUUUAUAGAUAAAGGUACAGAGUUAUUGAUAGGCUGAGUAACUGGCCCAGGCUUAUGAGAUGGUAAAUGGUGGGGCCAAGAUUAGAACUGGACAUUUUGUCUCAGGUGAUACUCUUAACCACAUAAUUUCAGAAGCUUAGGCUCAUGUAAGAUGAGUUGUACGGAUAGAUGAGUUGUAGAUAGAGGCAGAAGCCAAAAUGAGGACAGUGUUUGGAGGAGAGAGGUGGGUAUCGAAUAUGUACUCUUUUAAGAUGGCUAGCUGAAAAGACGGGAGAAAUAGGUCUGAAUAUAGAAGAAUUUGUAGGGAAAAAGAGAGGACACAUAACAGGAGACACUUGAACAUGCUUAUAAGCUGAGUGAAAAAAUCUAGAAGAGAAGAAGAGGAGGGGAGCUUAAAGAUACUUGGAGAGAGCAUUUGAUAAAUCAAGAUCUUUAGGAGCCAAGAGCAGAUGGAUUGCAUGGUUCAGGUUUAGGGAUGAGCUUAUUCAGGAGGAGGGGGAGAUCCUUUGUCCAUAGAGAUGGAAGGGAAAGUAAUACAGUGGAUGCACAAGCUUGGAGCUGAAGAAGUUGGCCUGGUGGCCUUUAUUUUCUGUAAAGUAAGUGAAGUUCUCUGUUGAGAGAGAAGAUGGCGUGGUAGGGAGCUUGGGUCAAGUAGUGAAGACUGAAGCAGCUUUUCUAACAGUGAGGAAAGAGAUGAUUAUGUGUCAAAUCUCUGUUCUAUUGUUUAAUAAGCUUUAUGACUCUGGAAAAAUUUCAGAACAUCCCUGUGCCUCAGUUUCCUCCUUAAAAAAAUUUUUUUUUAUUAAUUUUUAUAUAUUUUUGAGAAAGAGACAGAGUGUGAGCAGGGGAGGGGCAGAAAGAGAGAGGGAGACACAGAAUCCAAAGCAGGCUCCAGGCUCUGAGCUGUCAGAGCAGAGCCUGUUGCGUGGCUAAAACUCAUGAACCGUGAGAUCAUGAUCUGAGCUGAAGUUGGAUGCUUAACUGACUGAGCCACCUAGGCGGUUUCCUCAUAUUUAAAAUAGGGAUAUAGUAGUGCUUACCUCAUGAGAGUUUUUUUUAAAGAUUAAGUGAGUUAAUAGAUUAAACAUGCUUACAACAGUGCUGUAAGUGUACCUCAUAAAUGCUCAAGACAUGUUUGCUCUUACUGUGUUGGACUUGAAUAAGAAUUUCUUGGUGCAUAAAAGUCCAGUUCAGGUUAGAGGUUGUGAAUUUUUAAUAUUCCAAAUUCUCAGUAAUUGUGUAUUUUUUUCCCCCAGAAAUUCUUAGUGUUUUGGGAAUAGGACUGCAGAUUUAUUUAGAAUCUAGGUUUGGCCAGAUGGUUAAAUGAAGGUUCAUGCCGGAGGUGGUGGAAGAGGGGAGAACCCUGGAUAUAUGCUGGGUAAGAAAGAAAGUUAAGAGAGGAGUUGAUAGGAAGAGAGUCCAAACCCAGGAGGUUUUGUUUGAGAUCAGGUCAGAUCUCAGUGUCACUUGUUUGCUAACGUAAGUAAAAUGGUAAUUACAUAUUAUGAAAUUUGUUUUUGAAACUUUUAUUUUAGCAUUGGCUUAUAUUGACUCCAUUUUUCUUUAUACCUCUUAACAUUCUAAUGUGUUUAUGUUAUUCAUGUGUCAUUAUUUUUAAGGAAAAUGUAGAAAAUGAAUAUGAACGCCGAAGAAGAGAUCAUAUUUCUCACUUUAUUUUACGCCUUGCUUAUUGCCAGUCGUGAGUAUACGUUUAGACUCUCAUAGUCAAAGCUGCUAUCUUGGGUUACAAAUUGGUACGUGGGAAGCUGACAUGUAUUGUACUGCACAUAGGAAAACUCAGAAUAACAUCAGAAGCUGGUGAUUCAUGGGUUGAACACUGUUGUUGCAAAUUGUUUGAAGCCAGUUGUUUACUAAAAAAAAUUGUAAAAAAUUCUAUUGUAAAACUUGCCUGUUGAAACACUUACUAGUUUUAUGGGAGAGGCUCUUCAUUUGGGAUUUGCAAUUGUGGGGGUGGGGGGAUUUCGGUAAGAAAGGACUUUUUGAUCCUGUUUUCUCAGAAAAAAAGUGGCACUAUUUAUAAGAAAUAAUACCUCAAACAUAUACUUGAAUUUAGUACAGGUGUAAGCUAUUUUCCCUUUGCUAGUUGGUUUCUUGUAAGUCUACAGUGCCACCCAGAGGGAGAAGGAGUUAGUUGCCUUUUUCUUUUUUUUUUUAAACUGUUUUUUUUUUUUUCUGUACUAAUUUUGGCUAAAUAAUAUACUUAGUGUAAGUUUCUUUUCUGUUUCUUUCUGUUAAGAGUCUUAUCAAAUGAGAAUCUUGAAUUGUUUAGUAUCCCACUUAUCCCUGGACAGGUGAUCCUAUCCACGACCAUCUUUGGUUCUGGAGGUUUUCUUUUGUAAAGAUGAAUGUGCAGUUUAUGUAAUUUAUGCAGUCAAUGAAUUGCUGACAAUCUGUGAAAGUCCCUUUGGGGGGGGGAACUACAUCAUAUUUUAUCUAUAGUAGUAUAAUUAUUUUGUGACAAUAGUAAUAACCAUUAUGUAUUUUAUGAAUUUAUAUUUGUUGCUUUUUCAAAAAUCAAGAUGUAGUUGUGCAUAUUAAAUUUUGUGAAAUUAUUAACUAUAAAGCUGUAAACAAAGUUUACUUUAAGAGUUUAUCUGAUCAUAAUCUAUUCGGAGAUAAAGUGACCUUUAAAAAUUUUGGUUUUGGGGCACCUGGGUGGCUCAGUCAGUUGAGCGUCUGACUUCGGCUCAGGUCAUGAUCUCCGUUUGUGAGUUCGAGCCCCGCGUCGGGCUCUGUGGUGACAGCUCAGAGCCUGGAGCCUGUUUCAGAUUCUGUGUCUCCUUCUCUCUCUGACCCUCCACUGCUCAUGCUCUAUCUCUCCCUCCCUGUCAAAAAUAAAUGUUAAACAAAAUUUUUUUUGGUGUUGAUUUGGCACUGAUGAAACCACCUUAGACUGAAGGAAUACCCCAUUUUCUGAUGUGAAUGACCGUUUUGCAGUUAAAUGCAAUGAACUGUUUUCUUUUAUAUUGUUGGAUAAUCAGCUAGGCUCAAGGUAUUCUGUGUUUAAUUCUGUAUUCAUAAUACCUCUCCCAAUGUUCACAUCCUUGAAGAUUGUGGUAUGUGCUCUGUAUACUGUUUAUCAUAAUAGACGACAUGUGUGCUUUUAACUUCUGUCUGUUGGCAUCUUGCUCAUAUUUGAGUUUUAUUUCAUAAAAAUUUCUUGAUUUAAUAAUCCAUGGACUUUUAAAAUAAUCAGUGGACUUUUCAUUUAUACUUAUCGUUUCUCUGUUUUGAUUUCAGUGAGGAUCUUAGACGCUGGUUCAUUCAACAAGAAAUGGAUCUCCUUCGAUUUCGAUUCAGUAUUUUACCCAAAGACAAGAUUCAAAGUUUCUUAAAGGAUAGCCAUUUGCAUUUUGAGGCCGUGAGUAUGGUUUUGUAGCCAUUUUCAGUUGUUUUCACCAUUCAUCCCUUCCCAUUCACCUUAAGUGCGAGUAUUAAUGUGAGGUGUUUUUUCUGUUUACAUUUUCUUAAGUACUUGCCUGAAAGAAUAGCUAUUGGCUUUGCACAGCAAUGAAACUUUGCCUUUCCGUGACUAGAAGAAAAGGGACUCCUUAGUACCGAAGUUUCGCAUUUAGUUGCUUUAUUAAAUAUGUGACUUGUGAAAGCACAAGAAGGUUUAAUUUAUAAGAGUUCAUCUUUAAUCUUCUAGGCUGAAAAUUUAAAGCUAAUAAUAUACAUUAAA
This 12340-nucleotide long non-coding RNA is filed under the name Lynx pardinus (Iberian lynx). Lineage: Eukaryota; Metazoa; Chordata; Mammalia; Carnivora; Felidae. The record is from RNAcentral.